This 71-nucleotide transfer RNA is filed under the name Hemiselmis tepida. It matches the Rfam family "tRNA". Rfam says of the family: Transfer RNA (tRNA) molecules are approximately 80 nucleotides in length. Lineage: Eukaryota; Cryptophyceae; Cryptomonadales; Hemiselmidaceae. The record is from RNAcentral.
GGGCUUUAGCUCAAUUGGUAGAGCGCUAGUUUUGCAUACUAUUUGUUAAGAGUUCAAGUCUCUUAAGUUCC